UACGUAGGGUGCAGGCGUUAAUCGGAAUUACUGGGCGUAAAGCGUGCGUAGGCGGUUUGUUGAGACAGGUGUGAAAUCCCCGGGCUUAACCUGGGAACUGCGCUUGUUACUGGCAGACUGGAGUGUGGCAGAGGGGGGUGGAAUUCCAGGUGUAGCAGUGAAAUGCGUAGAUAUCUGGAGGAACACCGAUGGCGAAGGCAGCCCCCUGGGCUAACACUGACGCUGAUGCACGAAAGCGUGGGGAGCAAACAGG
Molecule: ribosomal RNA, 253 nt
Filed under: uncultured bacterium
Lineage: Bacteria
Description: partial 16S ribosomal RNA
Rfam family: Bacterial small subunit ribosomal RNA
Source: RNAcentral